ACAUACUUCUUUAUGUACCCAUAUGAAGAUAUAAUGUUAUGGAAUGUAAAGAAGUAUGUAC
This 61-nucleotide microRNA precursor is filed under the name Python bivittatus (Burmese python). RNAcentral describes it as "Pbv-Mir-1-P1_pre stem-loop". It matches the Rfam family "mir-1 microRNA precursor family", at positions 10 to 70 of the family's 79-position model. From Rfam's summary of the family: This family represents the microRNA (miRNA) mir-1 family. miRNAs are transcribed as ~70nt precursors (modelled here) and subsequently processed by the Dicer enzyme to give a ~22nt product. In this case the mature sequence comes from the 3' arm of the precursor. Lineage: Eukaryota; Metazoa; Chordata; Lepidosauria; Squamata; Pythonidae. The record is from RNAcentral.